UAUGUCCGGGGCUAAAACACACUGCCGAAGCUUUGGAAUUGAGAAUUCAAUUGGUAGAGGAGCAUUCUUAAAGGGACGAAGCAGUACCGGAAGGAGCUGUGGACUUUUAAGAAGAGAGAAUGCCGGAAUGAGUAGCGAGAGGAAGGUGGGAAUCCUUCCGGCCGAAUAUCUAAGGUUUCCAGAGUAAAGCUGAUCUGCUCUGGGUAAGUCGGGGCCUAAGGCGAGGUCGAAAGACGUAGUCGAUGGAUAACAGGUUGAAAUUCCUGUACUAUCCUGUAACAGAACUGUGGGGACACAGGCAGAGAGCGUGAGCCGGGAAUGGAAAGACCGGUACAAGCGAGGUAGGAGAAGAGUUGGCAAAUCCGCUCUUUAAUCUGAAGACGUGAUGUGGACUGAAAAUAAGUAGGGAAGCACGUGAGCUGACUGUCAAGAAAAGCCGCUAUUGUUUGCAGGAUACCCGUACCGUAAACCGACACAGGUGGAUGAGGAGAGAAUCCUAAGGCCGACGGGAGAAGCAUUGUUAAGGAACUCGGCAAAAUGACUCCGUAACUUCGGGAGAAGGAGUGCCAGUAAGAUGGCCGCAGAGAAUUGGCCCAAGCAACUGUUUAGCAAAAACACAGGUCUAUGCAAAACCGAAAGGUGAGGUAUAUGGGCUGACGCCUGCCCGGUGCUGGAAGGUUAAGGGGAGAGGUUAGCGCAAGCGAAGCUUUGAACUUAAGCCCCAGUAAACGGCGGCCGUAACGAUAACGGUCCUAAGGUAGCGAAAUUCCUUGUCGGGUAAGUUCCGACCCGCACGAAAGGCGUAAUGAUUUGGGCACUGUCUCAACAAUGCACCCGGUGAAAUUGAAAUACCAGUGAAGAUGCUGGUUACCUGCGCCAGGACGGAAAGACCCCAUGGAGCUUUACUCCAGCUUGAUACUGGGAUUCGGUAUUGCAUGUACAGGAUAGGUGGGAGGCUAGGAAAUGGUAACGCCAGUUGCCAUGGAGCCAAUGUUGGGAUACCACCCUUGCAGUACUGGGUUUCUAACCAGCAGCCGUGAUCCGGCUGGGGGACAAUGUCAGGUGGGGAGUUUGACUGGGGCGGUCGCCUCCGAAAGGGUAUCGGAGGCGCUCAAAGGUUCCCUCAGAAUGGUUGGAAACCAUUCGAAGAGUGCAAAGGCAGAAGGGAGCUUGACUGCGACACCGACGGGUGGAGCAGGUACGAAAGUAGGACUUAGUGAUCCGGUGGUAUAAAGUGGGAUUGCCAUCGCUCAACGGAUAAAAGCUACCCUGGGAUAACAGGCUUAUCACUCCCAAGAGUUCACAUCGACGGAGUGGUUUGGCACCUCGAUGUCGGCUCAUCGCAUCCUGGGGCUGAAGUAGGUCCCAAGGGUUGGGCUGUUCGCCCAUUAAAGCGGUACGCGAGCUGGGUUCAGAACGUCGUGAGACAGUUCGGUCCCUAUCCGGCGUGGGCGUAAGAUAUUUGAGAGGAGCUGUCCUUAGUACGAGAGGACCGGGAUGGACUGGCCGCUGGUGUAUCUGUUGUCUUACCAAAGGCAUAGCAGAGUAGCCAAGCCGGGAAGGGAUAAACGCUGAAGGCAUCUAAGCGUGAAGCCCCCCUCAAGAUGAGAUAUCUCAUAACGUCAAGUUAGUAAGACCCCUUGAAGACGACGAGGUAGAUAGGGCAGAGGUGGAAGUGUGGUAACACAUGGAGCUGACUGUUACUAAUAGGUCGAGGGCAUAACC
RNAcentral lists this ribosomal RNA (1725 nucleotides) under metagenome. RNAcentral's name for it is "bacterial LSU rRNA". It matches the Rfam family "Bacterial large subunit ribosomal RNA", at positions 1169 to 2925 of the family's 2925-position model. The record is from RNAcentral.